Molecule: non-coding RNA, 603 nt
Organism: Podarcis lilfordi (Lilford's wall lizard)
Lineage: Eukaryota; Metazoa; Chordata; Lepidosauria; Squamata; Lacertidae
Source: the annotation of a GenBank genome assembly
AUAGGUCCACAACAGAAACAAUAAAUCACCCAAGGCCCAGUGCAGUCAAAUCUUUAUUCAAGGAAACAAACCACAGCUCAGAGCUAAUAGUCUCAGCAACACUUUCUAGGCGAUCUUGCCCCAAUGAAGCAGUUGCAAGCACUGAAGGUUCCUGCCUUCCCAGUGUCCACUAGGACUCCUCCUCUUCUGGGUCUUUUCCAUGCAGUCUCAGGCUGUGUCUGCGCACAACCACCCUCCUUCCUCUCUGUGUUUUAUUUCUCUGCGAGUUCUAGACCAGAGAGGAGAGGAGCUGGUCACAGCAGGAGGGAGAGACUCACUGGAUUCUUCAGCAGCCUGCCUCAUCUCUGUCUCCUGGCCCCUCUCCCCUCCAGCCUCAGGGUCUGAACUGCUCUCUGCCGCAGCCUCUUCCCGCUCACUAAACCCUGUUGCCUCUCCAGCUUCCACCACCACAUCCCAGUCUGCUCUCUCUUUUCCCUCUGACCAUUCAUCAUUGUCCCACCCAGUGCUGAAUUUACGUAUAAGCUAAACAAGCUAUAGCUUAGGGCCUCACUCUCUUGGGGGACCCGAAAAAAAUUAAAGGGGAAAACCCGGAUGUACAUUUCC